Long non-coding RNA from Chinchilla lanigera (long-tailed chinchilla), 375 nucleotides. RefSeq lists it as uncharacterized. The record is from RefSeq and is a predicted model, not a curated record. NCBI's taxonomy places the organism in Eukaryota, Metazoa, Chordata, Mammalia, Rodentia, Chinchillidae. The transcript is spliced from 3 exons.
GUGUUUGUUCUCUUUUCCACUAGCAGACACAGACCUCUGCAUUGUCUCAUCGUUUCACUCUUUCCAGAAUCGCAUGUAGUUGUGAUAAUACGGUACAUGGGUGAUGCUUUGAUGUGCUUAUGCAUUGUGAAAUGAGGAGUACCAAGCUAAUUUACAUCUUCACACCCUCUCACCCUUCAGCAGAUUCAAUGAGUUUUCUGCUUGGAGACAGCAAAGCCAGCAAGCAGAAGAAGGAGAUAAAGGAAUAAAGGAAGUUUAUCACUCGCAGCAACAAAAGACAGCACCAGAGAUGCCUCCCAGGGCUGUGUCUCUCCGCGUGGAGGAAGCGAGAGGAUGCUAUUGAGGGGGCUCAUCCACAGCCAGGUGGGAGAGACU